Molecule: ribosomal RNA, 429 nt
Filed under: Pseudomonadota bacterium
Lineage: Bacteria; Pseudomonadati; Pseudomonadota
Description: Proteobacteria bacterium partial 16S ribosomal RNA
Rfam family: Bacterial small subunit ribosomal RNA
Source: RNAcentral
UGGGGAAUAUUGGACAAUGGGCGAAAGCCUGAUCCAGCCAUGCCGCGUGUGUGAAGAAGGUCUUCGGACUGUAAAGCACUUUAAGUUGGGAGGAAGGGCAGUAAGCGAAUACCUUGCUGUUUUGACGUUACCGACAGAAUAAGCACCGGCUAACUCUGUGCCAGCAGCCGCGGUAAUACAGAGGGUGCAAGCGUUAAUCGGAAUUACUGGGCGUAAAGCGCGCGUAGGUGGUUCGUUAAGUUGAAUGUGAAAGCCCCGGGCUCAACCUGGAAACAGCAUCCAAAACUGGCGAGCUAGAGUAGGGCAGAGGGUGGUGGAAUUUCCUGUGUAGCGGUGAAAUGCGUAGAUAUAGGAAGGAACACCAGUGGCGAAGGCGACCACCUGGGCUCAUACUGACACUGAGGUGCGAAAGCGUGGGGAGCAAACAGG